This 279-nucleotide ribosomal RNA is filed under the name uncultured Staphylococcus sp. RNAcentral describes it as "partial 16S ribosomal RNA". It matches the Rfam family "Bacterial small subunit ribosomal RNA", at positions 83 to 354 of the family's 1533-position model. The record is from RNAcentral. Lineage: Bacteria; Bacillati; Bacillota; Bacilli; Caryophanales; Staphylococcaceae.
CCUUUGACGUUAGCGGCGGACGGGUGAGUAACACGUUGGUAACCUACCUAUAAGACUGGGAUAACUUCGGGAAACCGGAGCUAAUACCGGAUAAUAUUUCGAACCGCAUGGUUCGAUAGUGAAAGAUGGUUUUGCUAUCACUUAUAGAUGGACCCGCGCCGUAUUAGCUAGUUGGUAAGGUAACGGCUUACCAAGGCGACGAUACGUAGCCGACCUGAGAGGGUGAUCGGCCACACUGGAACUGAGACACGGUCCAGACUCCUACGGGAGGCAGCAGAC